This 228-nucleotide ribosomal RNA is filed under the name Streptomyces cavourensis. RNAcentral's name for it is "partial 23S ribosomal RNA". It matches the Rfam family "Bacterial large subunit ribosomal RNA", at positions 1557 to 1776 of the family's 2925-position model. Lineage: Bacteria; Bacillati; Actinomycetota; Actinomycetes; Kitasatosporales; Streptomycetaceae. The record is from RNAcentral.
UGAGACCUGAUGCCGAGCCGAUUGUGGUGAAGUGGAUGAUCCUAUGCUGUCGAGAAAAGCCUCUAGCGAGUUUCAUGGCGGCCCGUACCCUAAACCGACUCAGGUGGUCAGGUAGAGAAUACCGAGGCGUUCGGGUGAACUAUGGUUAAGGAACUCGGCAAAAUGCCCCCGUAACUUCGGGAGAAGGGGGGCCACACCUGGUGACGGAGUUUACCUCUUGAGCUGGGG